This 21-nucleotide non-coding RNA is filed under the name Caenorhabditis elegans. The record is from RNAcentral. Lineage: Eukaryota; Metazoa; Nematoda; Chromadorea; Rhabditida; Rhabditidae.
UGGGAAAUUGUUUGAAAACAC